This is a non-coding RNA of Phascolarctos cinereus (koala), 1078 nucleotides long. The record is from RefSeq and is a predicted model, not a curated record. Lineage: Eukaryota; Metazoa; Chordata; Mammalia; Diprotodontia; Phascolarctidae.
GCCUCCUGUUGCAAAGGAAACUGCUCAGGUAUGCUCAGCUUCGAAGGGAGGAGGCACGAGGGAGCACUGGAGUGCCCCCGAGAGGAGCAGGAGCCUCCCCGGGUAGGUAUGGAGGCUUUGUUUGACUUUGGAGCUUUCCUCUGUGUUGUCCCAGCUGCUGACCCCGACUCUGAACUGGGCCCUAACUGGAAGCACUGGAGGAACACUCUUAGGUAAAGACCCCUCCGUGUCCCCCUCUAAGCCCUGUUUCUCUCCUGGCGGAACCCACUACCAUCCCUGAAUCUACAUCCACACCUGAGCUCCUGCCCAGACUCUGGACCCUGCAAAGCCUACCUCUACCCUGCUGGGAAGGAUACCUGCCUUAGCACCGUGGAGGUCAUAGGUCAAAGGAAGGACCAGUCUAUCUCCAGAAGGAAUGGCUCCUGUGUGGCACCUGAGGAUUGCCAGCCUCGAGUCUAUAGCCUGUCCCACGUACCCUAUCAGAGCCUUUGGGUCAAUGUCACCUGUUGCGGCGGUGGUAACUGCAGUGAGUCCCCCGAGGCAGGUACAUCACCAGACAGGCCACGGGUUAGGACAGUGCUGGGUCAGGGAGGGCAGGCUCAGCUGACAGCCCCCUCAUUGUCUUGUGCUGCUCUCUGGACCCAAAUGCCCACGAGCACCAUCCUCCAACGGAUGUGUGGAGUGUAAGGGGCUCUGAGAGCAUCAAAGUCAGAGACCAACCCUAUGGGCUUUGAAUGACCCUCUCACUUCCUAUUCUCUGGAUUCCUCAGUGGCCCUGCCCAAGGGUAGGUUCAGUGAUGUCCUGUGUCCCAUCUGCUCCCUGUAUGACUACUGUUGUGACGAAAGCUUAUACCUGUGCUGCUAUCAAGGGGAGACCUCCUGUUUACCAUGAACCUGGCUCGGCUUAGAGCCAAAGCAGGAAGAAUUUUUCUUCUCUCUGAUGAUGGGAGCCCACCCCAAGUCUGGACUCUUCCAGGGAGCCUCCUUGGCCAAAGCCCAGCCCAGAUGACCUCUUGGGCCUCAGAAACCCCAGAACCGGCCCCACAAUAGUCAACAACAAAUUAUACAUUAGCUCAUU